GCUGUCUUUCUGCAUGCAGAAGUCCGUGCAGGAGAAGCUGGAAAGGCUGGAGCAGCUCAAAGCAGAGUACAACGCGGUCUUGACACAUCUCCAACACCAAGACCAGGAGAUGCGGCAGGUGAAGCUGGAGACAGCUCAGCUGAGCAUGGAGGUGACCCAGUUGAAGGAGUGGUAUCAGGAGCAGAAGUUGGUGGAGCAGCUCAGAGCAGCA
Colius striatus (speckled mousebird) is the source of this 211-nucleotide long non-coding RNA. RefSeq lists it as uncharacterized. The record is from RefSeq and is a predicted model, not a curated record. The transcript has 3 exons. NCBI's taxonomy places the organism in Eukaryota, Metazoa, Chordata, Aves, Coliiformes, Coliidae.